RNAcentral lists this ribosomal RNA (1207 nucleotides) under uncultured archaeon. RNAcentral describes it as "partial 16S ribosomal RNA". The record is from RNAcentral.
AUUGCUCAGUAACACGUGGGAUGACUUCAGUGGCGUACAAUUCAAUCAUCCGUUCACGGGCUGCUGCGGGUUGCUCACCAGCACCAUAAACCAAAUCAAAACGGCCAACCCCAAGCGUCUUAAUCGCUUUAGCCAUGCGUUGGGCAACCACUUCUGGUGUGCCGACAUACAUUGAACCAGAUUGGAUUUCGUGUUCAAAGUGUUCGCGAGACAUUGGUGCCUAACCACGCAUCACCCCAAUUUUAUCAAAGGCGAGCUUAAUAUUUUCCCAAGCCAUCUCAACAGCAGCUUCUUGCGUAUCAGCAAUGAAACCGUGAGAGUGCAUUCCCAACGGGUGCGUUGGCAUAUCAAACUGCUUAGCCGCCCGUUCGUAAAGUUCAACAUACGGCUUGAAACGAAUCGGAUCGCCACCAAUAAUGGCUAAAAUCACCGGGAAACCAAAAUGCGCUGCGCGGACAAUCGAUACUGGUGAACCACCGACACCAACCCAGGUGUCCAAGUGACCACUUUCCGUUUUUGGAAAGACGUCGGCUUGUUUCAAGCUCUGGGUAAAUUCACCUUGCCAAUCAAAUGGCUUUUCUUCUAAUAACUUUGAAAACAUGGCGAUUUUUUCUUCAAAUAAAGCAUCGUAAUCACCAAGAUCGUAACCAAACAAUGGGAAUGAUUCUGUGAACGAACCACGCCCUAAAAUAAUCUGGGCGCGACUGUUAGAAACGGCAUCCAACGUUGAAAAACGUUCAAAUACACGGACUGGAUCAUCAGAACUCAAGACUGUCACACCAGAACCAAGGGUAAUUUGCUUUGUUUGUGUCGCAAUCGCGGCCAAAACAGUUUCAGGACUAGAAGUGGCAAAUUCUUCACGGUGGUGCUCACCUAGCGUAAUGACAUCAACGCCUAAUUCAUCGGCCUACACCGCUUCUUUGACAACUUGACGCAACGCUUGCGCAUACGUCAUCAACUGCCCAUCACUGUUUUUUGGGACAUCCCCAAAUGUAUCUAAUCCUAAAAUUACUUUUUCUGGCGCCAUGUUCUGCUCCUUGCACACACCGACUCUCCGACAUUCAAGCUCAAGGCCCGUCCUGAGAUUUCAAACGCAGGCUACACUACACUCAACGUCGAAGCCUACGGCGGCAUGCUCAGUAACACGUGGCCAUUGGCUGUGAGCAGCCCAGCCAGAGGCGGCGAGCCCCUCCUUGCACACACCGAA